This 635-nucleotide ribosomal RNA is filed under the name uncultured bacterium. RNAcentral describes it as "bacterial SSU rRNA". It matches the Rfam family "Bacterial small subunit ribosomal RNA", at positions 202 to 842 of the family's 1533-position model. The record is from RNAcentral.
UAAAGAAUUUCGGUAUGGGAUGGGGAUGCGUUCCAUUAGUUAGUUGGCGGGGUAACGGCCCACCAAGACAACGAUGGAUAGGGGUUCUGAGAGGAAGGUCCCCCACAUUGGAACUGAGACACGGUCCAAACUCCUACGGGAGGCAGCAGUGAGGAAUAUUGGUCAAUGGACGAGAGUCUGAACCAGCCAAGUAGCGUGAAGGAUGACUGCCCUACGGGUUGUAAACUUCUUUUAUAUGGGAAUAAAAUGUUCCACGUGUGGGAUUUUGUAUGUACCAUAUGAAUAAGGAUCGGCUAACUCCGUGCCAGCAGCCGCGGUAAUACGGAGGAUCCGAGCGUUAUCCGGAUUUAUUGGGUUUAAAGGGAGCGUAGGUGGAUUGUUAAGUCAGUUGUGAAAGUUUGCGGCUCAACCGUAAAAUUGCAGUUGAAACUGGCAGUCUUGAGUACAGUAGAGGUGGGCGGAAUUCGUGGUGUAGCGGUGAAAUGCUUAGAUAUCACGAAGAACUCCGAUUGCGAAGGCAGCUCACUGGACUGCAACUGACACUGAGGCUCGAAAGUGUGGGUAUCAAACAGGAUUAGAUACCCUGGUAGUCCACACAGUAAACGAUGAAUACUCGCUGUUUGCGAUAUAAGCAA